Molecule: long non-coding RNA, 1299 nt
Filed under: Homo sapiens (human)
Lineage: Eukaryota; Metazoa; Chordata; Mammalia; Primates; Hominidae
Description: HSALNT0366550
Source: RNAcentral
CAAAGAGACAUUAAACGACAUUUUAUUAAUUUUAAAAGCUAUAGAUUAUAGAAAUAAAAAUUUUCCGUAUGAAAUUUCCCUCCUAAGGGUCGGCCCAAGUCCAGGACCUGUCUGGGAAUUGUGGACAUAUCGGUAGGACACGGGCAAGGAUUGCCAUCUCGCUCAGCACCUGUUUCCUUGAACGAUGAGAAUAACCCAUCUCUCCUGUUUUAAGUGUGAUUUGUCAUAUACAUCAAUAGGCAUCUUGGCUCAACAUACGAAAGCCCCUUUCCACAGAGACAGCUGCCUCCAGCCUGAAGAAGUUGCCACAGGAGGUAGAAGGAGGUCCCUUGCCCAUGCCUGGGAGACCCAGCCAGAGUGGACAGGGAGGCGGCCCGGGCCGGGGUGCCAGACUCAGCAAAUAAACACAGCAUGCCCAGGUAACUCUGAAUUUCAGAUAACCAACGAAUAACUUUGUGUGAUACUAUAUUUGUACUCAAAAGUAACUCGUUUAUCUGAAAUUCAAAGUUGACGGCGCAUGUGGUACUGUAUUGAAUCUGGCAACGCUCCACCUUGGUUUUCCUACCCGGGUUUGUGGAAGGGGCUCCCCCUGCCCCGCAGGUGCCGCCCCGAGGAGGUGGAGGAGGAGGAGCCGGGCACUGACUGGGGACCCAGGCAACGAAAGCAAGCGCUGCAAAGACGAAGGGGAGCGCCCAAGGAUGAGGAACGUUCCAAGACACUGAGUGAUUUGCUGAAAAUCACACAUCUAGAUGCAAAGCCAGAAUGCGAGCAGUGACCACCACACUUGACAAAUCCGUUGUUGCACACAUUUGUACUCUUCAAUCAACAAAACCUGAUGCAAAAAACAGAAAAGGGGGAGAUGUACAUGCAUUUUCCCUCACUGCAAAAAAAACACAACUUGUUUAACUACAGGUGUGUUCCUGGUGGUCUUUGAAUGAAGACAUUGACAGAAAGUAACAUAGCAUGCUGGUUAAAGACUGUUUUUAUUCGAAUCCUGGCUUUGCCAAUCAACAGCUGCAUAAAUUAAACUCUCGACCUCAGCUCCCUUAUUUGUAAAACAAGAAUAACAAAAAGACAUUUUUAUAAGGUUGGGUUGAAGGUUAAAUGAAAUAACAGAAGAUUAUCUCUUCACUAAUUUUAGCUGUAGAAAACAGAAGCCAAUCGAAAGAGCUCCCAGUCCAAAGCUGGAACAACUUGAACAACAAAAUAAAUAAUGUAGCAUUGGAUUACAAACCAACCAUAAAACAAAUAUCCAUGAGUCUAUACUGAUGUCAAUAAAUGAAUAAAUGUGGGAAAAUA